AUGGGAACGCGAAGAACCUUACCUACUCUUGACAUCCAGAGAACUUAGCAGAGAUGCUUUGGUGCCUUCGGGAACUCUGAGACAGGUGCUGCAUGGCUGUCGUCAGCUCGUGUUGUGAAAUGUUGGGUUAAGUCCCGCAACGAGCGCAACCCUUAUCCUUUGUUGCCAGCAGUCCGGCCGGGAACUCAAAGGAGACUGCCAGUGAUAAACUGGAGGAAGGUGGGGAUGACGUCAAGUCAUCAUGGCCCUUACGAGUAGGGCUACACACGUGCUACAAUGGCAUAUACAAAGAGAAGCGACCUCGCGAGAGCAAGCGGACCUCAUAAAGUAUGUCGUAGUCCGGAUUGGAGUCUGCAACUCGACUCCAUGAAGUCGGAAUCGCUAGUAAUCGUAGAUCAGAAUGCUACGGUGAAUACGUUCCCGGGUCUUGUACACACCG
This 439-nucleotide ribosomal RNA is filed under the name uncultured bacterium. Its description in RNAcentral is "bacterial SSU rRNA". It matches the Rfam family "Bacterial small subunit ribosomal RNA", at positions 954 to 1392 of the family's 1533-position model. The record is from RNAcentral.